UACGGGGGUGGCAAGCGUUGUUCGGAAUUACUGGGCGUAAAGGGCGCGUAGGCGGCAUAACAAGUCAGAUGUGAAAGCCCCGAGCUCAACUCGGGAACUGCAUCUGAAACUGUAUUGCUUGAGUUCUGGAGGGGGUAGUGGAAUUCCCAGUGUAGCGGUGAAAUGCGUAGAUAUUGGGAGGAACACCUGCGGCGAAGGCGGCUACCUGGACAGUGACUGACGCUGAGGCGCGAAAGCUAGGGGAGCGAACGGG
This 253-nucleotide ribosomal RNA is filed under the name uncultured bacterium. RNAcentral describes it as "partial 16S ribosomal RNA". It matches the Rfam family "Bacterial small subunit ribosomal RNA", at positions 524 to 776 of the family's 1533-position model. The record is from RNAcentral.